UUUGCCUGCAUUUAAGUACGCCAUGUGAUA
Molecule: non-coding RNA, 30 nt
Filed under: Mus musculus (house mouse)
Lineage: Eukaryota; Metazoa; Chordata; Mammalia; Rodentia; Muridae
Source: RNAcentral